This 1500-nucleotide ribosomal RNA is filed under the name metagenome. Its description in RNAcentral is "bacterial SSU rRNA". It matches the Rfam family "Bacterial small subunit ribosomal RNA". The record is from RNAcentral.
AGAGUUUGAUCAUGGCUCAGAUUGAACGCUGGCGGCAGGCCCAACACGUGCAAGUCGAACGGUAACAGGAAGCAGCUUGCUGCUUCGCUGACGAGUGGCGGACGGGUGAGUAAUGUCUGGGAAGCUGCCUGAUGGAGGGGGAUAACUACUGGAAACGGUAGCUAAUACCGCAUAAUGUCGCAAGACCAAAGAGGGGGACCUUCGGGCCUCUUGCCAUCGGAUGUGCCCAGAUGGGAUUAGCUUGUUGGUGGGGUAACGGCUCACCAAGGCGACGAUCCCUAGCUGGUCUGAGAGGAUGACCAGCCACACUGGAACUGAGACACGGUCCAGACUCCUACGGGAGGCAGCAGUGGGGAAUAUUGCACAAUGGGCGCAAGCCUGAUGCAGCCAUGCCGCGUGUAUGAAGAAGGCCUUCGGGUUGUAAAGUACUUUCAGCGGGGAGGAAGGGAGUAAAGUUAAUACCUUUGCUCAUUGACGUUACCCGCAGAAGAAGCACCGGCUAACUCCGUGCCAGCAGCCGCGGUAAUACGGAGGGUGCAAGCGUUAAUCGGAAUUACUGGGCGUAAAGCGCACGCAGGCGGUUUGUUAAGUCAGAUGUGAAAUCCCCGGGCUCAACCUGGGAACUGCAUCUGAUACUGGCAAGCUUGAGUCUCGUAGAGGGGGGUAGAAUUCCAGGUGUAGCGGUGAAAUGCGUAGAGAUCUGGAGGAAUACCGGUGGCGAAGGCGGCCCCCUGGACGAAGACUGACGCUCAGGUGCGAAAGCGUGGGGAGCAAACAGGAUUAGAUACCCUGGUAGUCCACGCCGUAAACGAUGUCGACUUGGAGGUUGUGCCCUUGAGGCGUGGCUUCCGGAGCUAACGCGUUAAGUCGACCGCCUGGGGAGUACGGCCGCAAGGUUAAAACCCAAAUGAAUUGACGGGGGCCCGCACAAGCGGUGGAGCAUGUGGUUUAAUUCGAUGCAACGCGAAGAACCUUACCUGGUCUUGACAUCCACGGAAGUUUUCAGAGAUGAGAAUGUGCCUUCGGGAACCGUGAGACAGGUGCUGCAUGGCUGUCGUCAGCUCGUGUUGUGAAAUGUUGGGUUAAGUCCCGCAACGAGCGCAACCCUUAUCCUUUGUUGCCAGCGGUCCGGCCGGGAACUCAAAGGAGACUGCCAGUGAUAAACUGGAGGAAGGUGGGGAUGACGUCAAGUCAUCAUGGCCCUUACGACCAGGGCUACACACGUGCUACAAUGGCGCAUACAAAGAGAAGCGACCUCGCGAGAGCAAGCGGACCUCAUAAAGUGCGUCGUAGUCCGGAUUGGAGUCUGCAACUCGACUCCAUGAAGUCGGAAUCGCUAGUAAUCGUGGAUCAGAAUGCCACGGUGAAUACGUUCCCGGGCCUUGUACACACCGCCCGUCACACCAUGGGAGUGGGUUGCAAAAGAAGUAGGUAGCUUAACCUUCGGGAGGGCGCUUACCACUUUGUGAUUCAUGACUGGGGUGAAGGCGGAACAAGGUA